RNAcentral lists this ribosomal RNA (210 nucleotides) under uncultured Bacillaceae bacterium. RNAcentral describes it as "partial 16S ribosomal RNA". It matches the Rfam family "Bacterial small subunit ribosomal RNA", at positions 28 to 220 of the family's 1533-position model. The record is from RNAcentral. Lineage: Bacteria; Bacillati; Bacillota; Bacilli; Caryophanales; Bacillaceae.
GACGAACGCUGGCGGCGUGCCUAAUACAUGCAAGUCGUGCGCAGGAAGCAGACUGAAAUCUUCGGAUGGACGUCUGUGGAAUGAGCGGCGGAUGGGUGAGUAACACGUGGGUAACCUGCCUACAAGCUUGGGAUAACUCGCGGAAACGCGAGCUAAUACCAGAUAACACCUUUUACCUCCUGGUAAAAGGAUAAAAGACGGUUUCGGCUG